Molecule: long non-coding RNA, 770 nt
Organism: Homo sapiens (human)
Lineage: Eukaryota; Metazoa; Chordata; Mammalia; Primates; Hominidae
Product: long independently transcribed non-coding RNA 1543
Exons: 4
Source: RefSeq, marked validated
GAGCAGUUGGUUUCGUUGUCUUAAUUUGGGGCAGUAAUGAUUUCUGAGAAGCAGGUGAUUGAUAACGCGCAAAUUCAAAGCCCCUUGGGGGCUGCAUUGUAGCAUGGUGUGGGGAUGGGGAGACAGAGGGCUGGUAGGAUCCCGAAUUCCUAGUUUUUCUCUCCCUCUCCCUUGCUUCUUCAUUUUCUUCCUUCAGGCUUUCUUCCAUUUCUUUCUUCCAUCAAAUAUUUGUGGAGCUGGAACUGGGCUUCACUAUCAUAUUCCAAGGCCCUGUACUGGGAACAGACAAAGAAGCUCCUCCCAGAGACUGGAAGAAUGGUACAAGGUGUGAAAACCAAGGCUUAAAGCAUGCAAGUUAUUUGCCCGAGGUUUUUCAGCCACAAAUGAAGAAGCUGGGUCUGCUCCACACCUGUGAACCAGGCUAUUUCCACCAUAACCUGAACUCAGAUGAGCACCAGCCCAUGGAGAAUAGUCCAGAAGGCUGCCCAUAGCCUUAAAGGACAGUCAGCCUCACAAAAUGAGUGUUAUAUUCUGGAUUAUCAGAAGAGAAAUGUGAGAUGCAGGCAGGUUGAGAAAAUUGCUCCAAGUCACUUCGGGAAUGUGUGCAUGGACAAGGAAGCAGGAAGAUCCCAAGGAAAAAGAAGCAGCAUGAAAAAUGACAAGAAGACUACAACAGAAGUUUCUACGAACUUUGCACACACAGAAGAGGGUUCUUUUAGUUUUAGUCAGGAUAGGAAAAGGACAAAAUAAAAGUGAACAUUUAUUGAGCC